Molecule: ribosomal RNA, 577 nt
Filed under: uncultured bacterium
Lineage: Bacteria
Description: partial 16S ribosomal RNA
Rfam family: Bacterial small subunit ribosomal RNA
Source: RNAcentral
UGGGGAAUUUUGGACAAUGGGCGAAAGCCUGAUCCAGCAAUGCCGCGUGUGUGAAGAAGGCCUUCGGGUUGUAAAGCACUUUUGUCCGGAAAGAAAUCCUUGGCUCUAAUACAGUCGGGGGAUGACGGUACCGGAAGAAUAAGCACCGGCUAACUACGUGCCAGCAGCCGCGGUAAUACGUAGGGUGCAAGCGUUAAUCGGAAUUACUGGGCGUAAAGCGUGCGCAGGCGGUUUGCUAAGACCGAUGUGAAAUCCCCGGGCUCAACCUGGGAACUGCAUUGGUGACUGGCAGGCUAGAGUAUGGCAGAGGGGGGUAGAAUUCCACGUGUAGCAGUGAAAAUGCGUAGAGAUGUGGAGGAAAUACCGAUGGCGAAGGCAGCCCCCUGGGCCAAUACUGACGCUCAUGCACGAAAAGCGUGGGGGAGCAAAACAGGAUUAGAUACCCCUGGUAGUCCACGCCCUAAAACGAUGUCAACUAGUUGUUGGGGAUUCAUUUCCUUAGUAACGUAGCUAACGCGUGAAGUUGACCGCCUGGGGAGUACGGUCGCAAGAUUAAAACUUAAAUGAAUUGACGGGG